GGUCGGGUAGCUGAGACAGCUUAGCGUCGCCCUGAAGAGGCGAAGAGGCCGGUGCGAGUCCGGCCCCGACCA
This 72-nucleotide transfer RNA is filed under the name Acidobacteriota bacterium. RNAcentral's name for it is "tRNA-Phe". It matches the Rfam family "tRNA". Rfam says of the family: Transfer RNA (tRNA) molecules are approximately 80 nucleotides in length. The record is from RNAcentral. Lineage: Bacteria; Pseudomonadati; Acidobacteriota.